This 465-nucleotide ribosomal RNA is filed under the name Vreelandella stevensii. RNAcentral describes it as "partial 16S ribosomal RNA". It matches the Rfam family "Bacterial small subunit ribosomal RNA", at positions 338 to 795 of the family's 1533-position model. The record is from RNAcentral. Lineage: Bacteria; Pseudomonadati; Pseudomonadota; Gammaproteobacteria; Oceanospirillales; Halomonadaceae.
CCUACGGGGGGCAGCAGUGGGGAAUAUUGGACAAUGGGGGGAACCCUGAUCCAGCCAUGCCGCGUGUGUGAAGAAGGCCCUCGGGUUGUAAAGCACUUUCAGUGAGGAAGAACGCCUGGUGGUUAAUACCCAUCAGGAAAGACAUCACUCACAGAAGAAGCGCCGGCUAACUCCGUGCCAGCAGCCGCGGUAAUACGGAGGGUGCGAGCGUUAAUCGGAAUUACUGGGCGUAAAGCGCGCGUAGGUGGCUUGAUAAGCCGGUUGUGAAAGCCCCGGGCUCAACCUGGGAACGGCAUCCGGAACUGUCAAGCUAGAGUGCAGGAGAGGAAGGUAGAAUUCCCGGUGUAGCGGUGAAAUGCGUAGAGAUCGGGAGGAAUACCAGUGGCGAAGGCGGCCUUCUGGACUGACACUGACACUGAGGUGCGAAAGCGUGGGUAGCAAACAGGAUUAGAUACCCUGGUAGUC